UAAGUGUUAGAGGGUUUCCGCCCCUUAGUGCCGAAGUUAACGCAUUAAAGCCCUCCCCCCUGGGAGUACGGCCGCAAAGCUUAAACUCAAAAGAAUUUACGGGGGCCCGCACAAACGGUGGAGCAUGUUGUUUAAUUCGAAGCAACCCGAAGAACCUUACCAGGUCCUGACAUUCUCUGAAAACCCCAGAGAUAGGGCUUCUCCUUCGGGAGCAGAGUGACAGGUGGUGCAUUGUUGUCGUCCGCCCGUGUCGUGAGAUGUUGGGUUAAAUCCCGCCACGAGCGCAACCCUUGAUCUUAGUUGCCAUCAUUAAAUUGGGCACUCUAAGGUGACUGCCGGUGACAAACCGGAGGAAGGUGGGGAUGACGUCAAAUCAUCAUGCCCCUUAUUACCUGGGCCACACACGUGCUACAAUGGGCGGUACAAAGAGCUGCAAGACCGCGAGGUGGAGCUAAUCUCAUAAAACCGUUCUCAGUUCGGAUUGUAGGCUGCAACUCGCCUACAUGAAGCUGGAAUCGCUAGUAAUCGCGGAUCAGCAUGCCGCGGUGAAUACGUUCCCGGGCCUGUACACACCGCCCGUCACACCACGAGGAGUUUGCAACACCCGAAGUCGGUGGGGU
RNAcentral lists this ribosomal RNA (620 nucleotides) under Bacillus cereus. RNAcentral's name for it is "bacterial SSU rRNA". It matches the Rfam family "Bacterial small subunit ribosomal RNA", at positions 817 to 1436 of the family's 1533-position model. The record is from RNAcentral. Lineage: Bacteria; Bacillati; Bacillota; Bacilli; Caryophanales; Bacillaceae.